AGUUAUCAAAGUUUUGUGUUACCAUUGUUCAAAACUAUUGGAUCAGUGUAUCCAGAGGUACCAAGUCUCAAUGCUUCUCCCUCAGGUGUAACUGCCCCAAAAUCAGCUAGUAUGGGAGUAAAAUCCUGUGGCCAUUAAUUAUGCAGAACCAAUUAGAGAAGUGUGCAUGGAAAUUAAAAUCAAACUAAAGCAUAAAUAAAUGGAUUUUAAUUAUAUUAAAUUCAUGGGGUUUUCUAUUUUCUAAUCUAACCUUAUCCAACAAAA
RNAcentral lists this unclassified non-coding RNA (264 nucleotides) under Hevea brasiliensis (rubber tree). Lineage: Eukaryota; Viridiplantae; Streptophyta; Magnoliopsida; Malpighiales; Euphorbiaceae. The record is from RNAcentral.